CUACGGGGGGCACCAGUGGGGAAUAUUGCACAAUGGAGGAAACUCUGAUGCAGCAACGCCGCGUGGAGGAUGACACUUUUCGGAGCGUAAACUCCUCUUAUAUAGGAAGAAGAUGACGGUACUAUAUGAAUAAGCGCCGGCUAACUCCGUGCCAGCAGCCGCGGUAAUACGGAGGGCGCAAGCGUUACUCGGAAUCACUGGGCGUAAAGAGCGUGUAGGCGGAUUAAAAAGUCAGAAGUGAAAUCCUAUAGCUUAACUAUAGAACUGCUUCUGAAACUCUUAAUCUAGAAUAUGGGAGAGGUAGAUGGAAUUUCUGGUGUAGGGGUAAAAUCCGUAGAGAUCAGAAGGAAUACCGAUUGCGAAGGCGAUCUACUAGAACAUUAUUGACGCUGAGACGCGAAAGCGUGGGGAGCAAACCGGAUUAGAUACCCCAGUAGUC
This 439-nucleotide ribosomal RNA is filed under the name uncultured bacterium. Its description in RNAcentral is "partial 16S ribosomal RNA". It matches the Rfam family "Bacterial small subunit ribosomal RNA", at positions 339 to 795 of the family's 1533-position model. The record is from RNAcentral.